Non-coding RNA from Malus domestica (apple), 1869 nucleotides. The record is from RefSeq and is a predicted model, not a curated record. NCBI's taxonomy places the organism in Eukaryota, Viridiplantae, Streptophyta, Magnoliopsida, Rosales, Rosaceae.
GUACGACUAAUGUGGAUGCAGUGGAACAAAGUCUUUUGGAGAGGGAUAGGGUGCUAUCUGUGGUCAAUUCCAACUUGGUGAGGGCUCAAAACAGAAUGAGAAUGCAAGCAGAUAAGAAGAGGAGUGAGAGACAAUUUGCAAUUAGAGACUCAGUGUAUUUGAAACUGAUACCAUAUCAACCGCAAUCACUGGCACCACACGGUUAUCACAAGUUGCAGCCGAGGUAUUAUGGUCCCUAUGAGGUGAUAGAGAAGAUUGGUCCAGUUGCAUACAGAUUGAGGCUCCCUGUGGAAAGUAAAAUACAUCCAGUGUUCCAUGUGAGUAAUCUCAAGAGGCAGUUGGGUUCCAAUAAUGUGUUGCAUUCCACACUCCCUCAGGUUUUAGAGGAUGGACCAUCUCAGACCUUUCCACAGAAGAUUCUAGCUCGAAGGAUUUAUAAGAAGGGCAACUCAGCAGGUGUGCAAUUGCUGGUCCAGUGGGUUGAUUAAGAAGAAGCUGAUGCCACUUUUGGGAAGAUUUUGAUGAUUUCCAAGCCGAGUUCCCAGAAUUUCUCCGAAACCCCGCAACCUUAUCACAGAGCUACGGGGGUUCUUCGCCAUCGCCGCCUGUGUAAAGCUGCUUCUAAUCCCAGCCUACAAAAGCACAAACUAUAAGGUCCACUGCCAUAGGCUAGCUACAACCCACCUCUGCCUCUUGCCCAUUGGUACACUGACGAGACGAGCAUUGGACCCUCGACUACCCGCCAUUCUUUACCUACAUCGAGCUCUUCCUUUCCGUUUUCGCCAAUCUCAUCGACCCACAAAUCGGUCACCUCCAAAAGGGCUUGAAAUACAGCUCAAACGCAGUGCUUUCCUUCCAAAGAAUCUCGGUUAUCUUAUCAGAUUUGUGCCUUUUGUAUGGGGUUUAUCGAUUUAGUAGGAAUUGGGAUUCGAUGAAGCGAAAGAUGAUCUGGGUUCUGGUGGUUUGGUCGCCAAUGCUUAUUAUUGUAGACCGUUUGCAUAUCCAGCACAAUGGGUUUUUGCUUGGGAUUUUGUUGAUUUCGCCUUCGCGUUUGGAGGAAGGGAGGGACUUUACUGGUGGGCUUGUUUUUGCUAUGUUGUUGUGCUUCAAGCAUUUGUUUGCGGUUGUGGCGCCUAUUUAUUUUGUUUACUUGUUGAGGCAUUAUUGUUGGAAAGGAUUGGUGAGGGGUUUUUGGCGGCUUUCGGUUUUGGGGCUGUUGUUGUGGCUGGCUGGUUUUACAUUGGCAUAUGGCCCGUUUGUGUAUCAUGGGUAGGGGACUUUGCCAUGCCUAUUGGGCGGGCACCAAAUUUUUUGGUGUUCUAUAUCAUACUAGAUAAAGUGCUUGCUUUCGUUCUUGGAAGACUUGAUUCAACACUAAGGCACCAGCAGCAUCAUUCACUGGUGGGCUAGUUGGAGAUUCAUCCCCUUUUGCUGUACUAGCUCAGGUAAUUCUUAAUGGGCAACUGGAAGGAGGUGCAAUAUACUAGGAUAACAUUUCAGUUUAUCAAAUCAAAUGGGCAAACAAAACUCCUCGGUUGGAUGGUGCUGCUUGUUGACUGUUCCGACAUCAUGUAAUUUUGAAUAGGCGGUAGGUUUAUAGUCAGCUCUCUAUAAACCCUACGCUCUAGAACUAGCAAAGCAAUUAAGUAACUAAAGACUUCCCAAUGCCCAAUUCAAUUGUUUAGCUUGAGCGUACGACCAAACGGAAGGAAGAAAGCUCUUCACCCCCUGUUAGUAUGUUGAGUGCUCUUGAUUGAUGAGAAGAUAUAUUCUAUUUAACGUAUUCAGAACUAGGUUAUUUUAAUUGAGAGAUACAGUUUUUUAUUUCUUCAUAUUCUUAAAUGUUUUGAGUGGGGGUUAUCAGCUUCA